GACAAUUUUGAAAUUUUUGAAGUUUCAACCAUUUCACCUCUUUGUGUAGUUUUGUGUGCGUGCGUGCGUGCGUGCGUGCGUGCGUGCGUGCGUGCGUGCGUGCGUGCGUGCGUGUGUGCGUGCUGUUACAGGUAUCAACAUUAUGAGUCAGAGAAACACUUGUGAGGCUUGCAGGGAGCACCAAGCUGAUUUAGUUUUCAAAGACAGCACUGAGCUGGUCGGUCCAGGAAGAGCCUUCAGGCCCCGGCAUCCUCCACAAGAACAAGAACAAAGUUCGGCAGCCGGCUGAUAUUUCAUCCUCCAGCCGAAGGAGAACUCAAAGGCCACGCCCCUCUGAGGCCACGCCCCCUCAGUGCUGGCUCUGCUUCUCCAGCAACUUUUUCCAGAAACUCUACAUGGCUGGAUGGUGUAACAACGGCGUUUUUAUGGAAGAGUUGGUGAAGAGGAUUAUUGAUUCAAGCUGCCUUCCAUGAGCAGAUGAAGAAUACGAGUCCAAUCUCCUUCAACAGAGUUCACCACUUCACCGUCCUCAUUCAGAUGCAGCUGCUGCACCACCCGCAAGGUACAUCCACCAACUCCACCCGCACUGCUGCUCCUGCCCAGUGGCAGUGUGGAGGGUGGAGGAGGGUGGAGGAGGGGAGAAGCCGCCGGGACUCCCAUCAUCUCAACAAGUGACUUUCUGAAGUUUUCCUCCAGGACUUGUGCCUGGCAGGAGGAAAUUAUAGGGGUUGUUAUUACUUCGUUUUAAAACCAAAAAUUUAAUAAAAAUAUUUUAAAUAUAGCAACCGAUGUGAAUAAUUUCUGCCAUGUCAUUUAAAGACGUUUGAUUCAGAAAUAUAUCUUUUUUUAAAUUCUGGUUCAUGAUUUUUUGGAGAGAUUGUGAGGACUAUGCAAGUUGUAUUUAUCUAUUUAUUUUAAAUGGCAAUAUGUAAUAAAGCCAUAAUGGUUGAA
Molecule: long non-coding RNA, 951 nt
Organism: Salarias fasciatus (jewelled blenny)
Lineage: Eukaryota; Metazoa; Chordata; Actinopteri; Blenniiformes; Blenniidae
Exons: 2
Source: RefSeq, a predicted model, not a curated record